This 404-nucleotide ribosomal RNA is filed under the name Actinomycetes bacterium. Its description in RNAcentral is "Actinobacteria bacterium partial 16S ribosomal RNA". It matches the Rfam family "Bacterial small subunit ribosomal RNA", at positions 355 to 776 of the family's 1533-position model. Lineage: Bacteria; Bacillati; Actinomycetota; Actinomycetes. The record is from RNAcentral.
UGGGGAAUAUUGGACAAUGGGCGCAAGCCUGAUCCAGCCAUGCCGCGUGAGUGAUGAAGGCCCUAGGGUUGUAAAGCUCUUUCACCGGUGAAGAUAAUGACGGUAACCGGAGAAGAAGCCCCGGCUAACUUCGUGCCAGCAGCCGCGGUAAUACGAAGGGGGCUAGCGUUGUUCGGAUUUACUGGGCGUAAAGCGCACGUAGGCGGACUAUUAAGUCAGGGGUGAAAUCCCGGGGCUCAACCCCGGAACUGCCUUUGAUACUGGUAGUCUUGGGUUCGAGAGAGGUGAGUGGAAUUCCGAGUGUAGAGGUGAAAUUCGUAGAUAUUCGGUGGAACACCAGUGGCGAAGGCGGCUCACUGGCUCGAUACUGACGCUGAGGUGCGAAAGCGUGGGGAGCAAACAGG